Stegostoma tigrinum is the source of this 2450-nucleotide long non-coding RNA. RefSeq lists it as uncharacterized. Lineage: Eukaryota; Metazoa; Chordata; Chondrichthyes; Orectolobiformes; Stegostomatidae. The transcript is spliced from 2 exons. The record is from RefSeq and is a predicted model, not a curated record.
CUUCAGCUGUGCUAACUGUUGUUGCUGAUCCGUUGCCUUUCUAGGACAAUGACGGAUCUCGAGUACUAAUAGCUUUUCCUACAUUCUGAGCAGUUGAUGACCCCAUGUAUCAGCUGUCUGCUGUGAAGGAGCAGCUUCUCUAGUGUGAGGUUGUCUAGUUUAUGGUCAUGACAGUGUGGCUGGACGUUCAAGAUGGUGGCAGAGUAAGAUACUCCAGCCAGAUCCCCGGAGCGGGGAGCGGGGCGAGCGCGGGCCGAGCCCCGGAGCGGGGAGAGGGGCGAGCGCGGGCCGAGCCCCGGAGCGGGGAGAGGGGCGAGCGCGGGCCGAGCCCCGGAGCGGGGAGCGGGUUCUGUGACGACACUAAAACCGCCUGUACCUAAGAUGGUGCCAAGAUGACAUUACAAACUGUUCAAUGCUCUCGUUCCACUGCUUGUGAAUAAAGGCUAUUCUAUCAAGGCCAUACUAUACUGUUUUAUUUUAGUGAUCGAAAUGAUUGAGGUGACACCCACCCCAUAUACAUUCCAAACUUCCAUAGCAGCGGACUCUUGCUGAGAGCUGUAACUGUUCACACUCUGAAUAGCUCUCCAAUGCUCAGCUCCGGCAAUGAUUUGGCAGUUUUAUCAAGGUGAAAUAUGGCUUUCUGCCAUUUCACUUUGAUUCUGUCACUCACUCCUGUUACAUAGCUCAGUUGAUUUUUCAAAGUAGUUUAGAUGCCAUCUAACAUCAGCUAUUGAUGUAGAUUACGUUCCCUGCCUUCACUAAGUAUAUUUCUUCACUCUAGGAUUGCCAUGGCCAAGCUGUGCUGGAUUUUCUUGAUUUCUUUAUGAUCCAUUAUACAGCUAGUGAGAAAGCCCCCAUGUAGCUAAUCCCACUGUGUAUCAAGCUCCAAAGUCUUAAUGAAACCUUGGGUUGGGUAGUGGCUCACAACAUUAAUAAUUUUUUAUGUUUUUCUGUGCAACAUCAAUCCCAGUGCCAAACCAGGGUCAAAAGAAGAAGUGUCUCAUCCCCCAGGCCCAUCUCCACCAGCCCCUCGCUGCUUACCUCUGGAGAGGAACAGUCACGAGCCUCAAAAGAGAACUACCAAAGUCUUCAUCCCCACCUUCACCAGCUCAUAGCCAUUCAUCUUGUUUGCUUGUCUAUGUAGAGUAGGCUCUGGGUCACACUGUGAGCACAGCACUGACAUGGACCCAUAGCUACAGUUGAAAGAAACAGCAGAGGCUUCUGACACUCUGAGUACUGCUGGAGAACAAGCUUCUUCUGUCCUCAGUCCAGAUGAGGAGCUAAUGGACCUGGUGUCAAUAAGCUGACAGAGAUGUACGGCAGCUGCUGUGCCCAGGACCAUAAGAAACUGCAGAGUUGUGAAUACAGCCCAGUCCAUCACUCAAACCAACCUUCCAUCCAUUGACUCCGCCUGAACUUCUCACUGCCUUGGGGAACUGGCCAACAUCAUCAAAGACCCCUCGCACCCCGCUUCGACUCUCUUCCAUCAGGCAGAAGAUACAAAAGCUUAAACAUACGUACCAACAGAUUCAGGGUCAGCUUCUUCCCUGCAGUUAUUACACUUCUGAAUGGGCCUCUCAAAUUUCAGAUUUAAUGUUCAUCUCCUGCUCUAUGCACAUUCUCUGCAGCUGUACCAUUGAAUUCCUCACUUUGUUCUAUUACCCUAAUGCACUUUGUAUGGUAUGAUCUGUCUGUACCACACACAGAACAGAACUUUUCACUGUACCUAGAUGUGUGUGACAAUAACAAAUCAAAUCAGUCAAAACAAGGAGAUGUCUGGCAGAGGUUCCAGCAAUGGAGCGAAGAUCACAGUGUGCCCAUGUUCUAUCCGAUGUUAUGGCUCUGGUAUAUGAGUGAAUGCACCAGGCGGCAUGUGCCUUGGAGAGCCAAGUUCAGCAGAACAGUCAGUAUGUGCUGGUUAUGUGUGGGCUCCUGCACUUCUUCGCUGGAGCCAUGGAUACAUUUGUUCGCUGGCCUAGCUAAGAGGCAGGCCAAGGGACUUUGAUCUCAAGGUGACCCUUCCCCUCGAGUGAUGAAGCAGAUGCCAUUGCUCACCAGCAGGAAGACAAAACCACAGCAAACACCAUGAGGAUGGUCACCUUAGGAUACUACAGAGGUGACCUGCCGUACUGCAUUCCUCUGCCUGGGUUCCAGAUACUUCCAUCAGGUCAGUGAGGUGGUUUCACACCCCUCUUUGUAGGGGUCUACCAGCAGGCCAGAGCACUCUGGGCCCUAGGUAACCAGAGGAUGACAAAUGAAGUCAGCUACAACAAGGCAGGAAAGCAGACAGCAGUUUCCUGAAGCCCAUCCCUGCCUCAGUGGAGGUAGCGUCAUGAUGAAGUGGGAGGAAAAGAAAGAUUAAAGGACAUUGAAAUCAUGUUGAGUGCAUAGGUGUCAUCUUUCUGUAUUAUAUGAUAUUUGACACAAAUAAAGCACUUUGUAUGACAGUC